GAGUUUGAUCGUGGCUCAGGAUGAACGCUGGCGGCGUGCUUAACACAUGCAAGUCGAACGGAGUACCCUCGAAGGAGUUUUCGGACAACUGAGAGGACUACUUAGUGGCGGACGGGUGAGUAACGCGUGAGUAACCUGCCUUGGAGUGGGAAUAACAGCUGGAAACAGCUGCUAAUACCGCAUGAUGCAGUUGGGCCGCAUGGCUCUGACUGCCAAAAGAUUUAUCGCUCUGAGAUGGACUCGCGUCUGAUUAGCUGGUUGGUGGGUAACGGCUCACCAAGGCGACGAUCAGUAGCCGGACUGAGAGGUUGGCCGGCCACAUUGGGACUGAG
RNAcentral lists this ribosomal RNA (332 nucleotides) under uncultured microorganism. Its description in RNAcentral is "bacterial SSU rRNA". It matches the Rfam family "Bacterial small subunit ribosomal RNA", at positions 9 to 323 of the family's 1533-position model. The record is from RNAcentral.